AAAGGAAUAGACGGGGGCCCGCACAAGCAGUGGAGUAUGUGGUUUAAUUCGACGCAACGCGAAGAACCUUACCAGGGCUUGACAUCCUCGGCUCGCGGUAGAGAUACCGUUUUUCAUGGAGCAAUCCAUGGACCGAGAGACAGGUGGUGCAUGGUUGUCGUCAGCUCGUGUCGUGAGAUGUUGGGUUAAGUCCCGCAACGAGCGCAACCCCUGUCGUCAGUUGCCAUCAUUAAGUUGGGCACUCUGACGAGACCGCCGUUGACAAAACGGAGGAAGGUGGGGAUGAGGUCAAAUCAUCAUGCCCCUUAUGUCCUGGGCUACACACGUACUACAAUGGCAGUCACAGCGGGCAGCGACACCGCGAGGUGGAGCGAAUCCCAAAAGGCUGUCUCAGUUCAGAUUGCAGGCUGCAACUCGCCUGCAUGAAGCAGGAAUUGCUAGUAAUGGCAGGUCAGCAUACUGCCGUGAAUACGUUCCCGGGCCUUGUACACACCGCCCGU
This 500-nucleotide ribosomal RNA is filed under the name uncultured bacterium. Its description in RNAcentral is "bacterial SSU rRNA". It matches the Rfam family "Bacterial small subunit ribosomal RNA", at positions 903 to 1397 of the family's 1533-position model. The record is from RNAcentral.